This 199-nucleotide ribosomal RNA is filed under the name uncultured bacterium. Its description in RNAcentral is "partial 16S ribosomal RNA". It matches the Rfam family "Bacterial small subunit ribosomal RNA", at positions 1293 to 1500 of the family's 1533-position model. The record is from RNAcentral.
UCGGACUGCAGGCUGCAACCCGCCUGCACGAAGCCGGAGUUGCUAGUAAUCGCGAAUCAGAAUGUCGCGGUGAAUGCGUUCCCGGGUCUUGUACACACCGCCCGUCAAGCCAUGGGAGCCGGGGGUGCUUGAAGUGCGUCGCCGCAAGGCGCGCCCUAGAGCAAAACCGGUGACUGGGGCUAAGUCGUAACAAGGUACC